GCAAUUCUAUACAGUGGAUUGAUCAUAUCAAAUUUUCAUUUGAUGUGCAUGAAGAUGAGUAACAGAAAUUUGGGUUCAAUUGCAACAUAUCCAUUCACUCCACCUUCUGCUUGCAUAUUUAACAAUGUUGCAUGCACAUCAAAUCAUCUUACAAACAUAAACUGUUCUCACUUUCUGUAUAAUUUCCUUUUUGUCAUAUAAAAUUCAAAAAGAGAUGGGGUUNNNNNNNNNUUUCACUUCUGACUCGGACUCAGACACAUACCACGAGCUGUUUCCUGCACUUCUAGAGUGCUUCUCUUUCUUCCUCACUUUACGUUUCCUUCUUGACUUCAUUACAUAGUAAGUCAUUGCACCAAGACCCCCUGCCAUUAUGACUCCUCCGAUAACAGUAACAAGAAUUGCAGCCCACUGGUGAUGCCGACCAACCACUAUAUAAGAUGAUGAAAUAAAUGCCACAGAAGUGCAAACAGAGGCCAACCACAUUAACUUAUUGAUCACUUCUACAACCCGCCUUUCUGAUUUUGUCUCCCCUCUUACAAUUGUGAUUUGUACCACCACAACAGCCAGGGAUGUGAAGAGAGCAAUAGCAUUAAAGACGAAGAAUAUCUUAAAUGAU
Molecule: unclassified non-coding RNA, 616 nt
Filed under: Hevea brasiliensis (rubber tree)
Lineage: Eukaryota; Viridiplantae; Streptophyta; Magnoliopsida; Malpighiales; Euphorbiaceae
Source: RNAcentral